RNAcentral lists this ribosomal RNA (215 nucleotides) under uncultured bacterium. Its description in RNAcentral is "partial 16S ribosomal RNA". It matches the Rfam family "Bacterial small subunit ribosomal RNA", at positions 1286 to 1500 of the family's 1533-position model. The record is from RNAcentral.
UCUCAGUUCGGAUUGUAGGCUGCAACUCGCCUACAUGAAGUUGGAAUCGCUAGUAAUCGCGAAUCAGAAUGUCGCGGUGAAUACGUUCCCGGGUCUUGUACACACCGCCCGUCACACCACGAGAGUUUACAACACCCGAAGUCAGUGGCCUAACCGCAAGGAGGGAGCUGCCUAAGGUGGGGUAGAUGAUUGGGGUGAAGUCGUAACAAGGUACC